UACGUAGGUCCCGAGCGUUAUCCGGAUUUAUUGGGCGUAAAGCGAGCGCAGGCGGUUAGAUAAGUCUGAAGUUAAAGGCUGUGGCUUAACCAUAGUACGCUUUGGAAACUGUUUAACUUGAGUGCAGAAGGGGAGAGUGGAAUUCCAUGUGUAGCGGUGAAAUGCGUAGAUAUAUGGAGGAACACCGGUGGCGAAAGCGGCUCUCUGGUCUGUAACUGACGCUGAGGCUCGAAAGCGUGGGGAGCAAACAGGAUUAGA
Molecule: ribosomal RNA, 258 nt
Filed under: uncultured Streptococcaceae bacterium
Lineage: Bacteria; Bacillati; Bacillota; Bacilli; Lactobacillales; Streptococcaceae
Description: partial 16S ribosomal RNA
Rfam family: Bacterial small subunit ribosomal RNA
Source: RNAcentral